UACGUAGGGGGCAAGCGUUGUCCGGAUUUACUGGGCGUAAAGAGCGCGCGGGCGGUCGUUCAAGUCGCGUGUGAAAGCCCCCGGCUCAACUGGGGAGGGUCACGCGAUACUGAUCGACUCGAAGGCAGGAGAGGGUAGUGGAAUUCCCGGUGUAGUGGUGAAAUGCGUAGAUAUCGGGAGGAACACCAGUGGCGAAGGCGACUACCUGGCCUGUUCUUGACGCUGAGGCGCGAAAGCUAGGGGAGCAAACGGG
Molecule: ribosomal RNA, 253 nt
Filed under: uncultured bacterium
Lineage: Bacteria
Description: partial 16S ribosomal RNA
Rfam family: Bacterial small subunit ribosomal RNA
Source: RNAcentral